GCAGAGCAGCGGCUGAGGCUCAGGCGCCGGGAAGAAGUUGACAAAGGGACUUGACUAAACAUGAAUGCGUAUUUAUAGAUGCGAGCUCCAUCGAGAUCUAGAGAUAUCCCGCUCUCCCUGGCUCCUUCCACUCCUGCCAUUUCAUUUUUAUCGCUCCUUUAAGUGGAGGGCAGAUAAAAAAAAAAUUCCUGCACGGUGUGGGUAAUCGCCGCGUUAUUUACAAUCUAGUUACUCUGCAGCAGACGGGGAAGAAAACUCUGGGGCUCCUUCCCUUCGGAUGGAUAGAGAGGGCGGCCGGGCGGCGAGCUGCAAGAAGGAGGUCAGGGUGGGCUUGCGGGAGCUCGGGGGCGACCUGGAGGGAGCGGGAGCCCCCGGCACCGCCCCCGCGCCCCCCCCCCGCCCCCGCCGCACCCCCCGGGGCGGGCGCCGGGCCGCGGUGACCGCCGGCUGGUGCGCUGCCCUCGCCUCCCCCAUUGUUCCUACUGUCUUUUUGCCUUUUGUUAUUUGCACUCGCAUUGUGUUGUUUGUCUCUGAAGCCGCCUCAUGACCAGCAAAGGGAUUUCACCUCGUCCUUGAGAGCAACACGGGGAGCGCGAGCGAGCGGGCGAGCGAGAGACGGGGGGAGAGAGAGGGACACGCGCGCGCACACACACACACACCGGCACACACGCACACACACAGACACACACACACAGAGUGAAAAAGGCGAGCCACCAAAACCCAUCUCCAGUCUCCUCCCGGGGGCCCCCAGCCCGCCUCUGUGCCACUUUGCAUCCCACGCCGGAGGAGGCAUUAACGAGACCGGGUAAGGUGCGUGAAUCGCUGCGUUUUAACUUUGUUGUUCGUCCCGAUGUUGUUGUGGGCAGACCUCCAAGGCGCAGAGCUCCCCUCUGCCGCUCGCCGGGCCCGCCACUCAGCACUCCUUCCCGGCUCCAGCUGGAGAGCCGCGGAGGAGGGAGGGGGCCGCCGCCGGAGUUUCCUCAAGUACAGAGGGAGGGGGACUGGGCUGGGGGUGGCGGAGAGGUGGGAGGCGGCCCGAGGCGCGGAGUGGCCCUGUCAUCCCCGGGGGCGGCUGGCCGGGGGACCCUGGAGCGCCGGCUUGGACCCCGACCCGGAGACGGGAUAACUUUCUAUUUUUGUUGGGAAGCCUGCGUACUGUUGCUGGUAUUGUUUUGUAAGUGGUGGCGGUGGAGGUGGUUGAUGCGAGAGGAGAGUGCGGGGAGAACCCUGGGCUGUGCUGGGCAUCGCGGCCAAUGUCCAAGGCCAGACCCUAAAAGUUGGACAAAGCCCCUUAACCCUUCUAGGAUAUCAGAGCGACCCCUGGCCCACCCCCUAACCUUAGUCACCCCCACCUCCCGACUCUUUCGUCUUUUUGUUUCGCUUUCUGCAAUCCUUCUCCCUACCACUCCCCCUCCCUCCCGCCCGGAAUUUCUGAAACAAGUCUCAUCCUUCAGGAUUCUAGGGAUUUCAGAGACCGGAAGCUUUAAUUCUAAUUGCAACUACUUUUUCCCCCCACCUCACUCAGUGUACCAAGUGAAGACCACUCACGUGUUGUGUCACUUUAAGCGCGGGUUUGGGAAAUCUCGCUUGCACUUUGGGGCUACAGCAAUAAGAAGCAAUGAAAAGAGGUUAUACGAGUUGAAAUCAAAUUGGAUUUGGAAAUGUUUGCGUUGGAGAGCAGCAGUUUGUUGAGUAUUGAUCGGAUGCACACGAAGCACUGUUUACAUAUUUUAUUAGUCAUUUUCCCUACACUUUGCAAAGCGACUAUAUUAAUAAAUAGAUUGACCCUGGUGAAUAUCUGAAGACGCUGGUUUCUGUGACUAAAUUCAGAAUGUGAUGAUGAAUGUGAAUUCAUUUUAAUGUGUUCCCUUCUCAGCUAAAGCAGGUCAAGACGAGGAAUCCUGUGAAUAUGCAGAGCCCUACACUCGGUGCCAGGCAGUCCAGGCACUCUGGGUGGCAGUCAACUGUACUUUCUUACAAAAGUUUAGGGAUUUGCUGGAACCCACUUGAGAUCCUCACAUACCCAGAUAGCCAAAGGACUUUGUCAAGGAAGGCAUAAGGAGGUGUCCCCAGGGACUGCCUUCUGGCUCAGCAGAGUUCUUUAGCCAAGGGCAGGACCAAGGGAAAUCUGUGGGAUUUGGGGCAGUAAGUGUGGGAAUCUGCAAAGGGACUGGACAGUGAUUUGUUUCCUUGCUUUUCAUAAAUAAUGGCCCCUAGUACCCUGAAAACACACACACAGACACAAACAGGCCAAUGAAGUAGGCACAUGUGAGAUUUGUAGGCAAUGGACAUUUCCAUCAGAAAAACCAGAGGAAAAUUUUUGAUCAGGAUUACGGGAGUGAGGCUCGAUGGCCAAGAGUGAUUAGGUUAAGGGCCAGAUGGCUUUAAAGUAUACGGAAAUGUUUUUCAAGUUUGACUUUUAUAGCAUUUAAAAGGAGGACGAUUUCUUAGAGCCUUUACAGAACUGCUAAAUUUUGAUCUGUCUAAUUUUAAAGGAAUUCAGCUGUAUGAGAAUUGCUGUUAGCUCAGAUAGGGAAGGAAUCUGGUUUCAAAUGCAGAUACAUGGAACAAAGUUUCUAGGGGUGCUUCUUCCUGAUUUAAAUAUAGCUCCCAGGCAGAAGCCUAGAUAAAUUCAGCCACAAUGAUUUAAAAUCAUAAGUACUUACAGUGGAAGUUCUUUUAGGCACUGUGCAAAGUUCUCCUGCAAAUUAUGCCAUCAACUGUUUAUUCCUCAGAACUAUACAAGAUAAAAAUCAUAAGCAUCACUUAAAACUGAUGCAAUACAGCCUUAAAUCCUUAAACUGCUAGGGAUUGCUUUUGUUUGCCUAAAAGGUAGAUCUUUCAUCACAUGAGUUGUUUAAAAACAUUUAAUUGUGGGGGUGGGAAGGGAUGUGCAUAAUUAUUUAGUUAUUUGUGUUAAUUACAUAGUAGCAUACUUGCUUGAAAUUCUUUCUUUUUUCCCCCUUUUCUUUCCAGUGAUCUCUCUUCUAACAACCUUGUUCCUGAAGAAUCAACAGUUUUUUCUUGCUGUGGGUUUAAAAAAAUUCAUUUUGUAGCCUUUUUGAGUGGGUAGUAUUGAUCCAAUCUGACACAGACUUGCAAGUGUAAACUCUUAAUACAGGAAAAACUUCAAUUCUUAAUACGGAAAGCUUGUAUUAGUUUUGUUGUUGAGCUUAAACAGUUCUGGUUGAAUGGCAUGUUGUAUAUAGAAUUCAAAACUCCAAAACCUGUUUGGUAAAUAACUAGGCAUUUGAGGUCCAAUGGCUAAUUCAAAUUAAGUUAGUUCUAUACAUGUAAGUGCACAUCCUGUUUAGACUGACACGUGGUUUGGUAAAAGAAAAAAAAUGAAUAUACACUUGGAAAGAUGCUAUCUGUGGAGUAUAUAAAUAGUAAAUAGCAAAAGAGUGAAGUUUAUACUCAGGUAUGUUGUCAUCUUUUUGGUUGUCCUCAGUGGGGGUGAGUUAUGAGUGAUAAGGAGAAUUUAAAUUUCUAAAUUUACCUUUUCCAGUUAAAGGAAUGAAUUUAAAUGCUUAAAGAAUUUUUUUUUUUUUACUUACAAAGCAAGUUUAAAAUAUGAUCUAAUGCUUACAGUAUGUACUACCUUCUUGAAAAGCUCUGUUCUUUUUCUGAGUGAUAAGUAAUCAUUGAUUUGAGGGUAUGUUCAGAUUAUAUAAAAAAGUAAAACUUACAGGACAAAAUUUAUGUUUCCUAAUCUCCUAAAAUACACUGGAUUUCAAAUAACGGAGAGUUCUAAUGUUGAAUACUGUUUAGAUUUCCAGCAGGUAUAAUUGUUGGAUAUAAUUGAUUGGCAUAACCUGGAUGAUUCACCCAAUAUCCAAUCAACUUCAGUGGUAGAGAAUGCUAUAAUUGGAGUUUUGAGAGUAACCUGGAAACUUAUUUGUCUAGGCCUGAAGUCAAAUGCAUUCCCUCAUGCACUGGUCAAAAAUUUUUAGUCUGAGAAAUGAAGAUUUAUUUUAAAGGCGAAGAAAGUGCUUGGCUGUUUCAAAUAAACUAUAUCCUGAACUUAGAUUUGUAGAUAGUUAAUGAAAUAAAAGUCCAAUUUUGUUCCAAACAUUGUUUUAAAACACCCAUUUGUAAAUUGUCUGCAUUUGGUUUUCAUAUGUUAAUGAUUUGGGAUCUGAAACUUAUUUCAGAAAGGCAUUUUGGUUUAUCUUAAAAAACACCACACAAAACUGUCUAAACAACUCUGUAAAUAAACUGUUCCAAAUGCCUCAAUUUGAUGAAUGAAUUAAAGAAUUAUGGUUCUUAAUCCAAUUAUGAUCAGUCUGGUUAUUCCAUUUCCCAUUUGGGGGAGCUUGGGGAGUUGGAAUAGUAAAUGAUUCUCAAAUGUGAGUGGGGUCUUUGUUGUUUACUUUGUGUGUGUGAUGUAACGUAAAUAAUCACUCAUACCUAAUAUUUAUGAGAGGGAUUUCUGAUGUGGAGAAGUAAUUUCAAGAUCUUAAAUUAACCAAGAGUUCGUUUGCAUGAAAAGUUGCCAUUAAUAAAGGAGUAAAGUGAAGUUUUUAAAAAUAUGAAGCAAAGAUCUAACCUUUUGCUUAAAUAUAAUGAAUUUUGAUAUUUAAGAGGGGAGAAAUGGAGUGCUUAAGGCUCAGUAGAAGGGCAGACAAUCAGGCACUUUUAGUUUGUU
This 4648-nucleotide long non-coding RNA is filed under the name Homo sapiens (human). RNAcentral describes it as "non-protein coding lnc-SOX5-5:1". Lineage: Eukaryota; Metazoa; Chordata; Mammalia; Primates; Hominidae. The record is from RNAcentral.